Non-coding RNA from Pelobates cultripes (western spadefoot toad), 311 nucleotides. The record is from the annotation of a GenBank genome assembly. NCBI's taxonomy places the organism in Eukaryota, Metazoa, Chordata, Amphibia, Anura, Pelobatidae.
CUCUAAAUGUAAGCAAGAAAUAUAGUACAUUCCUUGCACAGUGCUUCUUUCUCCUGCAACACGUCUUUUUUUUUAUAAAGCAGGCUCCAAACUAUUCACAAUCCUGCACACUAGGAUGCUACAUUUUAGAAGUCUGCAAUCACACGAAAUACACCACAUUAAAUAAUAUUGUAAACUGAGUGUUGCUAGGAACAGGGUUUAGUAAAUGUUGAGCCAAAAUAGCCAAACUGAAAAAAACUAGCUUAGUUGGUGUACUUUUCAAAUUUUUAUUUUUUUUGUCUAAAAUUUGAAAAUACCAAAUUAAAUUCAAC